Molecule: long non-coding RNA, 715 nt
Organism: Procambarus clarkii (red swamp crayfish)
Lineage: Eukaryota; Metazoa; Arthropoda; Malacostraca; Decapoda; Cambaridae
Source: RefSeq, a predicted model, not a curated record
AGUGGUCACCGGGAAGGGGCCGGAGGAGGACGUGGUUGUCAUCACUACACCGGAGAAUACUCUAACUUCACUGACGUUAAACAUAGCGGCGUUCUACAGUUUCCGUUACUGAUCACUAGUUCCUUGGCGUCGAUUUAACUUUGCACCCGUUCUACAAGAUGUAGCCAAAGUUCUCGGUGUACAGCUGCUGCUCUCGGAUGCUCAUUAACAAUCAAAGGCUACACUCGAUGGCUACUUAAGGCAGAUUCCUUGGCUUCUCUUCAGCUCUAUCAUCCAUUUGGAGGCCAACACGAGAUGGAGACCAAGGCCCGGGGAAGGUGAUCUACUCGGCAAAAGGUCGACACACGCUUUGACUGGAUCAGGUAUCAUUUACAUGGUCAGGAAUAGACAUUAUCUUCGGAUCCUACAAGCACAGCGCAGGACGCACGCCUACCCUAGCCUGGGGCCAAGCCCGGCCCGUGCCCCAGUAACCAGGCAAGACUUCUCCAGGAUGCUUCGCGCCGCCAUCGCAGUGCUAGGCUCGCCUCCAGCUGAUUACGCCCCUCUAGAAUUGGCAGGGCCACUCGGUUGCCUCUCCAUUCGUCUCGGUACAAGUGUCGUUGCUGCUCUUUCUCAGGAUGCAGCUUCCCGCUUGGCUGCCUUAUCCUGCCUUGGCAAGAUCCCUGUUCAGGUCUCAAAAAACGCUCGGUUGAAUGCCAGUGUUGGCACUAUUCUC